GUCUAGAUAGCUUAAAAUAAAGCAUGUUAUUGAAGAUAGCAAUAUGGGAGUUCCUCCGGACA
RNAcentral lists this transfer RNA (62 nucleotides) under Lumbricus terrestris (common earthworm). RNAcentral describes it as "tRNA-Phe". The record is from RNAcentral. Lineage: Eukaryota; Metazoa; Annelida; Clitellata; Crassiclitellata; Lumbricidae.